RNAcentral lists this ribosomal RNA (497 nucleotides) under uncultured bacterium. Its description in RNAcentral is "partial 16S ribosomal RNA". It matches the Rfam family "Bacterial small subunit ribosomal RNA", at positions 28 to 507 of the family's 1533-position model. The record is from RNAcentral.
GAUGAACGCUGGCGGCGUGCCUAAUACAUGCAAGUCGAGCGAACAGACGAGGAGCUUGCUCCUCUGACGUUAGCGGCGGACGGGGGAGUCACACGUGGAUAACCUCCCUAUAAGACUGGGAUAACUUCGGGAAACCGGAGCUAAUACCGGAUAAUCUAUUGAACCCCAUUGUUCAUUAGUAAAUUACGGUUUUUCUGUCUCUUAUAGAUGGAUCCGCGCCUCAUUCUCUAGUUGGUAAGGUAACGGCUUACCAAGGCAACGAUGCGUAGCCGACCUGAAAGGGUGAUCGGCCACACUGGAACUGAGACCCGGUCCAGACUCCUACGGGAGGCAGCAGUAGGGAAUCUUCCGCACUGGGCGAAAGCUUGACGGAGCAACGCCGCGUGAGUGAUGAAGGUCUUCGGAUCGUAAAACUAUGUUAUUAGGGAAGAACAAAUGUGUAACUAACUACGGCCGUCUUGACGGUAGCUAAUACGAACGUCACGGCUAACUACGUG